Molecule: long non-coding RNA, 1076 nt
Organism: Macrobrachium nipponense
Lineage: Eukaryota; Metazoa; Arthropoda; Malacostraca; Decapoda; Palaemonidae
Exons: 3
Source: RefSeq, a predicted model, not a curated record
CCAGAACCAACAUUUUUCACACAACUCCAGGUUGUUACUAACAAAUUACUACUACAAGUGUCAUCAAGGGAUAACUACAAGUAGAAGCACCAUUUUUGGAUGGAAAAAACCCUUCAGGAAAGUAUACGUAUCACAUGUAACAUGUAGUGUAACAAAGUAUGAACAGUAAGGUUUUUACAUACAGUAGUAUUACAUACGUACAUAACUUUUUUUUACAGGAAUUUCCAACCAAGUUUGAUUAUGUACAUCAAAUGUUAUAAACCACUGUACGUAUGGUUACUGUAUGUAACUUACUAAACAUACAUAACAUGACUUAACUUUGAUACUUUUUUGGUACAUUCCAGAAAACCAGGACCCCCUCCAUGAUGCAGGCUAUGGGGCCACAUAAAACUUUGUCCAGGGUUACUACAUAACAUAAAGAACCCCCUGAAUGAUGUAGGCUAUGGGGCCACAUAAGACUUUGUGCAUCCAGGGUUACAUAGCACGACAACUUUAAACUAAAGGUAAGGAAUUAAUUAACAUACAUUAACUAAGUUUUAUACAUGUUAUAUAUGUGAUAUUAAACCACUGUAUGGUGCAUAUUACUGUAUGUAACUUACUAUGCAUAGAGUACUUACUGACAUACUAAUUAUUUUUUGUACAUUCCAGAACCCCCUGAAUGAUGUAGGCUAUGGGGCCACAUAAGACUUUGUGCAUCCAGGGUUACAUAGCAUGACAACUUUAAACUAAAAAGCUACCAGACUGGGAUUUUAGUGUACUCCAGGAUCUACCAAAUACUACUACGAAGUGUACAGUGCAUAAUAUAGUGUUUAGUGUAUAAUCUAACCUAAGGAUUAAGUGUAGUACAUUGUGCUUUAUAGUGUCACAAGAGUUUAAUAAAGAAUUAUACCUUCAAGAACCAUCCUUUGCCAUUGAAAUAACCACACUACACAUCAUGCAAUAUACUUGCAUGUCACACAGGUAAGGUCUCUAACUUUUUCUUAGUUUAAGGCAUAUUUCCAAGUGUCGUUCCGGCUUACGACGAUUUUCGGCUUACGACGCGCCUCAAGAACGGAACCCCCGUCGUAACCCGGGGA